Molecule: ribosomal RNA, 253 nt
Filed under: uncultured bacterium
Lineage: Bacteria
Description: partial 16S ribosomal RNA
Rfam family: Bacterial small subunit ribosomal RNA
Source: RNAcentral
UACGAAGGGGGCUAGCGUUGCUCGGAAUCACUGGGCGUAAAGCGCACGUAGGCGGCUUUCUAAGUCAGGGGUGAAAUCCUGGAGCUCAACUCCAGAACUGCCUUUGAUACUGGAGAGCUUGAGUCCGGAAGAGGUGAGUGGAACUCCGAGUGUAGAGGUGAAAUUCGUAGAUAUUCGGAAGAACACCAGUGGCGAAGGCGGCUCACUGGUCCGGUACUGACGCUGAGGCACGAAGGUCAGGGGAGCAAACGGG